GCUCAGAUAGCUUAACAUUUAGAGCAUAGCACUGAAGAUGCUAAGGUGGCGAUCCAACGCCUCAGAGCAC
RNAcentral lists this transfer RNA (70 nucleotides) under Cypraea tigris. Its description in RNAcentral is "tRNA-Phe". It matches the Rfam family "tRNA". From Rfam's summary of the family: Transfer RNA (tRNA) molecules are approximately 80 nucleotides in length. Their secondary structure includes four short double-helical elements and three loops (D, anti-codon, and T loops). The record is from RNAcentral. Lineage: Eukaryota; Metazoa; Mollusca; Gastropoda; Littorinimorpha; Cypraeidae.